UCAAUGGAAAGGGAAUGUUUAUGAGAUAACAGAAAUCCACUCAUACGGACUUAAAAUUUUAUUUCGCUAGUGACAGGAACGAAUGACCCCAGUGCUCCUAAAUCAGAACCGUGUUUCUGGCCCCAGUUGUGAUGCAUUCAUGUGAAUCUCGCAAUCAUGUUUUUUUAAGUUCCCAUACUAUUUUAGGAAGAAGGUUAUAUUCUGGUAAUACUGACUUCUCGGCUGCCAAGUGCUGGCAAAAUUUUGCACGUCAGGUUUUUGUGUGCGUUUGUGAAGUUUCAUUCUGCUGCUUGUAUGAAGAACUUUGAAUUGUAAAACAUUAUAAAUGAGCUACUCUGAAUUUGAUUUUUGUUGCUAAUACAAUCAGCUGAAUUCUGACUAAAGAAAUUGGAAUGCACAGAAGAGGAUAACCAAUUAAAUAAUAAAAGUUUAAUCAGACCCUGAUUUUGCAGACCAUUUCAGCAUCUGUGUUCCAUGAGCUGAAUAUUG
Long non-coding RNA from Dromaius novaehollandiae (emu), 489 nucleotides. RefSeq lists it as uncharacterized. The transcript has 3 exons. The record is from RefSeq and is a predicted model, not a curated record. Lineage: Eukaryota; Metazoa; Chordata; Aves; Casuariiformes; Dromaiidae.